UACGUAGGGGGCAAGCGUUAUCCGGAUUUACUGGGUGUAAAGGGGGCGCAGACGGCGAUGCAAGCCAGGAGUGAAAGCCCGGGGCCCAACCCCGGGACUGCUCCUGGAACUGCGUGGCUGGAGUGCAGGAGGGGCAGGCGGAAUUCCUGGUGUAGCGGUGAAAUGCGUAGAUAUCAGGAGGAACACCGGUGGCGAAGGCGGCCUGCUGGACUGCAACUGACGUUGAGGCCCGAAAGCGUGGGGAGCAAACAGG
RNAcentral lists this ribosomal RNA (253 nucleotides) under uncultured bacterium. RNAcentral's name for it is "partial 16S ribosomal RNA". It matches the Rfam family "Bacterial small subunit ribosomal RNA", at positions 524 to 776 of the family's 1533-position model. The record is from RNAcentral.